GUAGUCAUAUGCUUGUCUCAAAGAUUAAGCCAUGCAUGCAUAAGUACAGCACCUUGUCAGUGUGAAACCGCGAAUGGCUCAGUAUAUCAGUUAUGGUUCAUUAGGUUCUGCGAAAUUACUUGGAUAACUGUGGUAAUUCUAGAGCUAAUACAUGUUCAUGCGAUCUCGACCGUAGGCCUCGCGCAAGCGGGGAACCGCGGGCUGAUUCGCGCGCUUAUUAGCUAAACCGUUACGCGCUCUAUUGAGAUGCGGAAUACGGUGGUGAAACCUGCAUAAGUUGGACGAUCGCUUACGGGGUCUUCCCGGCGACAUUCCUUACAAGUGUCUGCCCUAUCAACUGUCGAUGGCAGGUUAUACGCCUACCAUGGUGAUAACGGGUAACGGAGAAUCAGGGUUCGAUUCCGGAGAGGGAGCCUGAGAAACGGCUACCACAUCCAAGGAAGGCAGCAGGCGCGCAAAUUACCCAAUCUUGGAACGAGGAGGUAGUGACGAAAAAUAACAAUACGGGACUCUUUUGAGGCUCCGUAAUUGGAAGAGUUNCCCCAAAUNCCUUAACCAAGGAUCAAUUGGAGGGCAAGUCUGGUGCCAGCAGCCCGCGGUAAUUCCAGCUCCAAUUGGCGUAUAUUAAAGUUGCUGCGGUUAAAAAGCUCGUAGUCGAAUGCUCACGGCCCGGGUUCAACAGGUGCUAUAAAACGUACCGCAAUCCGUGGUCGUAGACGUUGACGGUCCGUCCGCUGUUCUCUUCACUGAGAGCUUCGGGUGGCCGUGCCCUGUCACUUUGAUUAAAUUAGAGUGCUCAAAGCAGUCUUUACGACAAGAUAUCUCUUGCAUGGAAUGACAAAACACGUUGCUGUUCUGUUUGUCGGUUUUUGAAACGGCUAAAUGAUCGAGAGGGACUGCCGGGGGCGUCCGUAUUGCGGCGUGAGAGGUGAAAUUCUUGGACCGUCGCAAGACGAACAACAGCGAAAGCAUUCGCCAAGAAUGUUUUCAUUGAUCAAGAACGAAAGUCAGAGGUUCGAAGGCGAUCAGAUACCGCCCUAGUUUUGACCAUAAACGAUGUCACCUCGCAAUCCGCCCGAGUUCUGAUAACGACUCGGCGGGCAGCCCCGGGAAACCAAAGCAAGGUUCCGGGGAAGUAUGGUUGCAAAGCUGAAACUUAAAGGAAUUGACGGAAGGGCACCACCAGGAGUGGAGCCUGCGGCUUAAUUUGACUCAACACGGGAAACCUUACCCGGCCCGGACACUGGAAGGAUUGACAGAUUGAUAGCUCUUUCUUGAUUCGGUGGAUGGUGGUGCAUGGCCGUUCUUAGUUGGUGGAGCGAUCUGUCUGGUUAAUUCCGAUAACGAACGAGAUUCUAGCCUAUUAAAUAGGCGCGAGCCUCUUCGCGGCUCGCGCUCUCCUUAGAGGGACAAGGUGCAAUUAGCACCACGAAACAGAGCAAUAACAGGUCUGUGAUGCCCUUAGAUGUCCGGGGCCGCACGCGCGCUACACUGAAAGAAGCAGCGUGUCGUUUUCCUCGUCCUGCGGGACUGGGCAACCCGAGGAACUUCUUUCAUGAUUGGGAUAGGGGCUUGCAAUUGUACCCCUUGAACGAGGAAUUCCCAGUAAACACUAGUCAUCAGCUAGUGCUGAUUACGUCCCUGCCCUUUGUACACACCGCCCGUCGCUACUACCGAUUGAAUGGUUUAGUGAGGUCUUCGUAGCGGUCCUCUGCUUAUGGCCUCCUCCUCACGGAGGGGUCGUGCUUACGGACUGUGAAGAUAGCCGAACUUGAUCAUUUAGAGGAAGUAAAAGUCGUAACAAGGUUUCCGUAGGUGAACCUGCGGA
This 1828-nucleotide ribosomal RNA is filed under the name Narceoheterozercon ohioensis. RNAcentral's name for it is "SSU rRNA". It matches the Rfam family "Eukaryotic small subunit ribosomal RNA". Lineage: Eukaryota; Metazoa; Arthropoda; Arachnida; Mesostigmata; Heterozerconidae. The record is from RNAcentral.